UGUGAGCGACGAAGGCCUUAGGGUCGUAAAGCUCUGUUGUUAGGGACGAAGGGCGAAGGGUUAAUAGCCCUUAGCCUGACGGUACCUUUCGAGGAAGCCCCGGCUAACUACGUGCCAGCAGCCGCGGUAAUACGUAGGGGGCGAGCGUUGUCCGGAAUUAUUGGGCGUAAAGGGCGCGUAGGCGGCCUGGUAAGUCUGCUGUGAAACCUUGGGGCUCAACCCCAAGCGUGCAGUGGAUACUGUCAGGCUAGAGGAUGGUAGAGGCCAGUGGAAUUCCCGGUGUAGCGGUGAAAUGCGCAGAUAUCGGGAGGAACACCAGUAGCGAAGGCGGCUGGCUGGGCCAUUCCUGACGCUGAGGCGCGAAAGCUAGGGGAGCGAACAGGAUUAGAUACCCUGGUAGUCCUAGCCGUAAACGAUGAACACUAGGUGUGGGGGGAGUCGAAUCCCUCCGUGCCGAAGCCAACGCGUUAAGUGUUCCGCCUGGGGAGUACGGCCGCAAGGCUAAAACUCAAAAGAAUUGACGGGGGCCCGCACAAGCAGCGGAGCAUGUUCUUUAAUUCGAUGCAACGCGAAGAACCUUACCUGGGCUUGACAUGGCACUGCAAGCGCACGGAAACGUGUGACCUUCGAGGGUGUGCCACAGAUGCUGCAUGGCUGUCGUCAGCUCGUGUCGUGAGAUGUUGGGUUAAGUCCCGCAACGAGCGCAACCCCUGUCGUGUGUUGCCAGCAUUAAGUUGGGGACUCACGCGAGACUGCCGGUGACAAACCGGAGGAAGGUGGGGAUGACGUCAUGUCAUCAUGGCUCUUACGUCCAGGGCUAGAAACGUGCUACAAUGGCGUACACAAAGGGCAGCAAGACCGCAAGGUGGAGCGAAUCUCAUCAAAGUACGUCUAAGUUCGGAUCGGGGUCUGCAAUUCGACCCCGUGAAGCUGGAGUUGCUAGUAAUCGCGGAUCAGAAUGCCGCGGUGAAUGCGUUCCCGGGCCUUGUACACACCGCCCGUCACACCACGGGGGUAGGCAAUACCCGAAGUCGGCGCAGCCAACCCUUCGCGGGAGGCGGUCGGCGAAGGUAGGGCUUGCGACUGGGGUG
Molecule: ribosomal RNA, 1091 nt
Filed under: uncultured bacterium
Lineage: Bacteria
Description: bacterial SSU rRNA
Rfam family: Bacterial small subunit ribosomal RNA
Source: RNAcentral